This 253-nucleotide ribosomal RNA is filed under the name uncultured bacterium. RNAcentral describes it as "partial 16S ribosomal RNA". It matches the Rfam family "Bacterial small subunit ribosomal RNA", at positions 524 to 776 of the family's 1533-position model. The record is from RNAcentral.
GACGUAGGGCGCGAGCGUUGUCCGGAUUUAUUGGGCGUAAAGAGCUCGUAGGCGGCUUGUCGCGUCGUUCGUGAAAACCCACAGCUCAACUGUGGGCUUGCGGUCGAUACGGGCAGGCUAGAGUUCGGUAGGGGAGACUGGAAUUCCUGGUGUAGCGGUGAAAUGCGCAGAUAUCAGGAGGAACACCGGUAGCGAAGGCGGGUCUCUGGGCCGAUACUGACGCUGAGGAGCGAAAGCGUGGGGAGCGAACAGG